This 460-nucleotide ribosomal RNA is filed under the name uncultured bacterium. RNAcentral describes it as "partial 16S ribosomal RNA". It matches the Rfam family "Bacterial small subunit ribosomal RNA", at positions 338 to 795 of the family's 1533-position model. The record is from RNAcentral.
CCUACGGGAGGCAGCAGUGAGGAAUAUUGGUCAAUGGGCGGGAGCCUGAACCAGCCAAGCCGCGUGAGGGAAGAAGGUACAGCGUAUCGUAAACCUCUUUUGUCAGGGAACAAAGGCGGGGACUAGUCCCCGGAUGAGGGUACCUGAAGAAAAAGCAUCGGCUAACUCCGUGCCAGCAGCCGCGGUAAUACGGAGGAGGCAAGCGUUAUCCGGAAUGACUGGGCGUAAAGGGUGCGUAGGUGGUUUGGCAAGUUAGUAGCGUAAUUCCGGGGCUCAACUUCGGAACUACUACUAAAACUGCUGGGCUUGAGUGCAGGAGGGGCAUAUGGAAUGCCUAGUGUAGCGGUGGAAUGCGUAGAUAUUAGGAGGAACACCAGUGGCGAAGGCGAUAUGCUGGACUGUAACUGACACUGAGGCACGAAAGCGUGGGGAGCAAACAGGAUUAGAUACCCGAGUAGUC